Molecule: long non-coding RNA, 1256 nt
Organism: Gadus morhua (Atlantic cod)
Lineage: Eukaryota; Metazoa; Chordata; Actinopteri; Gadiformes; Gadidae
Exons: 2
Source: RefSeq, a predicted model, not a curated record
CACACACACACACACACACACACACACACACACUCUAUGUCGAUUUAAAUCAAUACACGUCUACAAUGAGCCAUAGUUGUAACCCUUUUGGCUUUCCAAACACAAACGCUCAAACACAGUCACACACACUCUGGCCAUCAGACUGUUUGCUGACUUGUCUACGUCGCGGUGAGUAGGCGUCUUUGGGAAAUGUGUGUUGGUUUGUGACCGUGUGAUUCAGUUUACCAUCAGAGUGUGUGUGUUUGAGUUGUGUGACUGUGUGUGUGUGUGUGCACACAGGAGUGAUCGCCGAUGUGUUCCCGGAAUGCUCGCCAGGUGAGCUUUCACAGACAAUGAUUGUAUGGUGCAUUUGUGCAGAAAUAGAAGAUUCAAAAACACAUGAGACAAUAGAAUAAAAUAUAUCAAAUAGGAAAUCGAAUUAAAAAACAAAUCUAAUUUAAUGAUUUAACCAUGAUGCUAUCAAGCCCGGUAAAGCAAGGCAUUAACACUGCAAGGGGUAGGUUAGGGGGUUCCAUUCACACCGUAGCAACCGAUAACAAGAAUAUAUAGUCACACACGUUGGAUGAAAGUGGCCAUUGAAAUAACAUAUUGUAUUAUAUUAUGUUAUUAAUAUUAUAUUAUAUUCGGCUCUAUAUUAUUUAUAUUAUAUUAUAUGUAUGAUAUAUUUUUAUUAUAUAUAUGGUUAUUCCUCCUCCUCACCCCAUUAGCCCUGAGUUCCCAUGACCUCCGCCCCCUCCCUGCAGUGUGUUCUGUCCCACAGAGAGUCACCUCACCUGGGGGUGAGGCGGGGGUAAGGGUGGGUCGGGAGGCUGUCCCCUCCGGGUGGUGUGGCAAGGCUGUGGCUGCGUCUAGACGGGAACUGUGAUGUCAUCAGGAAUGUGAAAACCCGACUGAAACCGACCCGGGGUUCUGAUCCGCUGCGGACAAGGACGGCUCCUGUGCCCGACCACUUCCCGUACGUAGACGGGGGUAAUAAUCUGAGAAGCCCCAUCAUGGAAAGAGCCCGUAAGAGGACUGGCAGCGAGGGGAAACUUCGGCCAAACUCACAUCUGGAUUGGAGUUUUGUUUGUCGAUUUUUGUUGAUUUGGUUUCCACCUGGGUUUAUUUUAAUACAUGUAUUGUGUACAUAAGUGUAAAUAUAUAAUCUGUUUCAAAGUGGUAGUGCCUUUGGUAUUUUUACCGUAUUAGCUUGUUUGAUCGCAGUUUUCUUUAUUGCUGCUACUGUGACACUGUAAUGAAUAAAGUGUUGACCUCUU